This 1204-nucleotide long non-coding RNA is filed under the name Ananas comosus (pineapple). RNAcentral describes it as "long non-coding RNA (ACOM_LNC012186)". The record is from RNAcentral. Lineage: Eukaryota; Viridiplantae; Streptophyta; Magnoliopsida; Poales; Bromeliaceae.
CUAGACUUUUCUCAUUUGCUGGUUCGUACAGGAUCCUAUUUUACACCUUUGAUAACUUGUUAGUAAAGUAUUGAUGAUUGACUAUGUUGCACAGAUACGGAUACGGGGAUACGAAUACGACACGAUACGGAUACGGUGAUAUGGCAAUUCCUAAAACUUCUAGGAUACGAUACGCGGGAUAUACUUGAAUAAAAUAUUAUUUUAAAUAUAUUUAAAUAUAUGUUGAUUAUAUGUAAUGAUAUAUUAAGAACAAUCAGAAUAUCUGGACUAUAUUAAAGAAUAUAUUCUAAUAUGUAUUAACUUGUAUAAUUGUUUUACAUAUGUGCAUAAAAAAAGAUAAUCAAUCAUAUAAAAUAAUAAUUCAAAAAGUAUCAAACCAACUGUCAUCCAACUUGAUCAAAUGAUAACAAUAGAUAUGUAGUUGCACAAACUAGAUAAUUAGUCAUUCAAUAUACAUGUCUGUUUUGUUAGUUCUAUUAUUAAAAUAGUAAUAAAAAAAUAUGGUAGCAAUGUAAUAGAGAAGUAAAAAAAAUCAUAUUUUCUAUAGCCUUUGUUGCUUAAUGCUAGGUUGACAAAUUAGAUGAAAGAGAGCAUAUACUGUGUGAAGAUAGAAUGAGAGGGAGCGCCUUCUACCAAUCAAGAGCAAAAAGAUAUAUGAAAUGACAAAUUGAACACUGAUUGGCGUUUUUCUCACUCUUUUCCUUCUUUCUAAUAGGUUUGGACAUGAGUUUUUUAAAAAAAUUUUAAGUUUCGAUCAUUUUAGAUCAAAAAAGAACCUGGCCGUGUCCCCCCCGUAUCCCCCCGUAUCCCUCACGUAUCCGAGCAGUAUCCGAUAUUUUUUUAUUUUUUAAAAAUGCCCGAUACUUCAUUCCCGUAUCGGACACGUAUCGGGCGAGUAUCGGGCGCGUAUCGGUAUCCGAUACGUAUCCGAUACGGGUACGGCAUGAAAUUUGAAGUAUCCGUGCCUCAUAGAUGAUUGAUGAUCAUUUCGAGCGGUAUCUUAGUAUACAGGUUUCUUAGUAUGCAAUCUAUGUGCCCACAUGGUCAUGUGUGCAGUGCCAUUCCGAACAGCUAUUAAUAUUUUUAAGGUUUCUUUUAUUUAAGUAGCGUUGCAUGUAGUUGUACGGCAACUGAUCUCUCAACAUUAGUACAGUAGUACGUACGUGCAACUUGCCACAUGUCGAGAAAUUAUCCUAUAUCUAGG